This 227-nucleotide ribosomal RNA is filed under the name uncultured bacterium. RNAcentral describes it as "partial 16S ribosomal RNA". It matches the Rfam family "Bacterial small subunit ribosomal RNA", at positions 103 to 334 of the family's 1533-position model. The record is from RNAcentral.
CGGGUGAGUAAUGCAUCGGAACGCGUCCUGUAGUGGGGGACAACCCCGAGAAAUCGGGGCUAAUACCGCAUACGAUCUGCGGAUGAAAGUGGGGACCGCAAGGCCUCACGCUAUAGGAGCGGCCGAUGCCGGAUUAGCUAGUUGGUGGGGUAAAGGCCCACCAAGGCGACGAUCCGUAGCUGGUCUGAGAGGACGACCAGCCACACUGGGACUGAGACACGGCCCAG